Molecule: ribosomal RNA, 515 nt
Filed under: uncultured bacterium
Lineage: Bacteria
Description: partial 16S ribosomal RNA
Rfam family: Bacterial small subunit ribosomal RNA
Source: RNAcentral
GACGAACGCUGGCGGCGUGCCUAAUACAUGCAAGUCGAGCGGACUUUCAAGAAGCUUGCUUUUUGAAAGUUAGCGGCGGACGGGUGAGUAACACGUGGGCAACCUGCCUGUAAGACGGGGAUAACUCCGGGAAACCGGGGCUAAUACCGGAUAAUAUCUUUCUUCGCAUGAAGGAAGGUUGAAAGGCGGCGCAAGCUGCCGCUUGCAGAUGGGCCCGCGGCGCAUUAGCUAGUUGGUGAGGUAACGGCUCACCAAGGCGACGAGGCAUAGCCGACCUGAGAGGGUGAUCGGCCACACUGGGACUGAGACACGGCCCAGACUCCUACGGGAGGCAGCAGUAGGGAAUCUUCCGCAAUGGACGAAAGUCUGACGGAGUAACGCCGCGUGAGCGAAGAAGGUCUUCGGAUCGUAAAGCUCUGUUGUCAGGGAAGAACAAGUACCGUUCGAAUAGGGCGGUACCUUGACGGUACCUGACCAGAAAGCCACGGCUAACUACGUGCCAGCAGCCGCAGUAA